GAUGAAGAACGUAGCGAAAUGCGAUAAGUAAUGUGAAUUGCAGAAUUCAGUGAAUCAUCGAAUCUUUGAACGCAUCUUGCGCUCCUUGGUAUUCUGAGGAGCAUGCCUGUUUGAGUGUCAUUAAAUUCUCAACUACACUGACUUUGAAUUGGUGUGGCUUGGAUUUGGUGGGAAAAUUGUUGUGGGCUUUUUGUAUAGUCUGCUCCCCUGAAAUUGAUUAGCGGUACCUUUGUGGAACUGUCUACAGGUGUGAUAAUUAUCUACAUCUUAGACAUCUGCUGGAAUGCUGCUUUCUAAACCUUACUUGUAUUGACAAUCUUGACCUCAAAUCAGGUAGGACUACCCGCUGAACUUAAGCAUAUCAAUAAGCGGAGGA
This 376-nucleotide unclassified non-coding RNA is filed under the name soil metagenome. RNAcentral's name for it is "partial contains 5.8S ribosomal RNA, internal transcribed spacer 2, and large subunit ribosomal RNA". The stretch from base 1 to 120 matches the Rfam family "5.8S ribosomal RNA", at positions 35 to 154 of the family's 154-position model. The record is from RNAcentral.